GGACGAACGCUGGCGGCGUGCUUACCACAUGCAAGUCGAACGGAAAGGCCCUGCUUGCCGGGUGCUCGAGUGGCGAACGGGUGAGUAACACGUGGGUGAUCUGCCCCUUACUUUGGGAUAAGCCUGGGAAACUGGGUCUAAUACUGGAUAGGACCAUGCUGUAGGUGGUGUGGUGGAAAGAUUAGUUUCGGUAAGGGAUGAGCUCGCGGCCUAUCAGCUUGUUGGUGGGGUAAUGGCCUACCAAGGCGUCGACGGGUAGCCGGCCUGAGAGGGUGGACGGCCACAUUGGGACUGAGAUACGGCCCAGACUCCUACGGGAGGCAGCAGUGGGGAAUAUUGCACAAUGGGCGCAAGCCUGAUGCAGCGACGCCGCGUGGGGGAUGACGGCCUUCGGGUUGUAAACUCCUUUCAGCCAUGACGAAGCCCUUGUGGUGACGGUAGUGGUAGAAGAAGCACCGGCUAACUACGUG
RNAcentral lists this ribosomal RNA (470 nucleotides) under uncultured bacterium. RNAcentral describes it as "partial 16S ribosomal RNA". It matches the Rfam family "Bacterial small subunit ribosomal RNA", at positions 27 to 507 of the family's 1533-position model. The record is from RNAcentral.